RNAcentral lists this ribosomal RNA (292 nucleotides) under uncultured bacterium. RNAcentral's name for it is "partial 16S ribosomal RNA". It matches the Rfam family "Bacterial small subunit ribosomal RNA", at positions 505 to 796 of the family's 1533-position model. The record is from RNAcentral.
GUGUCAGCAGCCGCGGUAAUACAGGGGGGGCAAGCGUUGUUCGGAAUUACUGGGCGUAAAGGGUUCGUAGGUGGCCAACUAAGUCAGAUGUGAAAUCCCUCAGCUUAACUGGGGAACUGCUUCUGAAACUGGUUGGCUUGAGUGCAGGAGAGGAAUGCGGAAUUCCAGGUGUAGCGGUGAAAUGCGUAGAUAUCUGGAGGAACACCGGUGGCGAAGGCGGCAUUCUGGACUGUAACUGACACUGAGGAACGAAAGCCAGGGGAGCAAACGGGAUUAGAUACCCGCGUAGUCC